GACGAACGCUGGCGGCGUGCUUAACACAUGCAAGUCGAACGGAAAGGCUCUCCCUUGCUGGGGUGCUCGAGUGGCGAACGGGUGAGUAACACGUGAGUAACCUGCCCUUGACUUUGGGAUAAGCCUUGGAAACUGGGGCUAAUACCGGAUAUGAUCUCCUUCCUCAUGGUGGGGGUUGGAAAGUUUAGGCGGUUAGGGAUGGACCUGCGGCUAACCGGCUUUUGGGUGGGGUGGUGGCUUACCAAGCCUUGGACGGUUACCCGGCCUGGGCGGGUGAACAGCCACAAUGGGACUGAGAUACGGCCAAGACUCCUACGGGAGGCAGCAGUGGGGAAUAUUGCACAGUGGGCGGAAGCCUGAUGCAGCGACCCCGCGUGAGGGAUGACGGCCUUCGGGUUGUAAACCGCUUUCGGCUGUGACGAAGCGUAAGUGACGGUACCGGAAAAAGAAGCACCGGCUAACUAAGUG
This 468-nucleotide ribosomal RNA is filed under the name uncultured bacterium. Its description in RNAcentral is "partial 16S ribosomal RNA". It matches the Rfam family "Bacterial small subunit ribosomal RNA", at positions 28 to 507 of the family's 1533-position model. The record is from RNAcentral.